UACGUAGGGUGCGAGCGUUAAUCGGAAUUACUGGGCGUAAAGCGUGCGCAGGCGGUUUUUCAAGUCUGAUUUGAAAGCCCCAGGCUUAACCUGGGAACUGCAUUUGUGACUGCAAGACUAGAGUGCGGCAGAGGGGGGUAGAAUUCCACGUGUAGCAGUGAAAUGCGUAGAUAUGUGGAGGAAUACCGAUGGCGAAGGCAGCACCCUGGGUCGACACUGACGCUCAUGCACGAAAGCGUGGGGAGCAAACAGG
This 253-nucleotide ribosomal RNA is filed under the name uncultured bacterium. RNAcentral describes it as "partial 16S ribosomal RNA". It matches the Rfam family "Bacterial small subunit ribosomal RNA", at positions 524 to 776 of the family's 1533-position model. The record is from RNAcentral.